GAUGAACGCUAGCGACAGGCUUAACACAUGCAAGUCGAGGGGCAACGGGACGUAGCAAUACGUUGCCGGCGACCGGCGGAUGGGUGAGUAGCGCGUAUGCAACCUACCCACGACAGGGGGAUAGCCCGUUGAAAGACGGAUUAAUACCCCAUAAAACAGGGGUUCCGCAUGGGACUAUUUGUUAAAGGGUUCUCCGCGAGGGGGACAUCGGUUGUGGAUGGGCAUGCGUUCCAUUAGGCAGUUGGUGAGGUAACGGCUCACCAAACCGACGAUGGAUAGGGGAACCGAGAGGUUGGUCCCCCACACUGGUACUGAGAUACGGACCAGACUCCUACGGGAGGCAGCAGUGAGGAAUUUUGGUCAAUGGACGGAAGUCUGAACCAGCCAAGUCGCGUGAAGGAAGGCGGCCCUAAGGGUUGUAAACUUCUUUUGUAAGGGAAUAAAGUGCGUUACGUGUAGUGCAUUGCAAGUACCUUACGAAUAAGGAUCGGCUAACUCCGUG
RNAcentral lists this ribosomal RNA (502 nucleotides) under uncultured bacterium. RNAcentral's name for it is "bacterial SSU rRNA". It matches the Rfam family "Bacterial small subunit ribosomal RNA", at positions 28 to 507 of the family's 1533-position model. The record is from RNAcentral.